GAAAUCAAACUUCUCUCACUGAACAAAAAAUCUAUCAUAACACCAGGAAUUCUCCAAGAUUCAAACUAAUCUUAUAUUUUUCUUUGUACUUUUCAGUUUAAAACAGAAUUGAUUGUCAACCUUCGUUUAUUCUCCUAAAGCAAACGGAAAGGACAUGGAUUCAGCCCAGGAAAAACCGCUUCUAUGUUAAAAUUAGUAUAAUAAAAGAUUUGUUGUCUAAAAA
Molecule: long non-coding RNA, 223 nt
Organism: Drosophila novamexicana
Lineage: Eukaryota; Metazoa; Arthropoda; Insecta; Diptera; Drosophilidae
Exons: 2
Source: RefSeq, a predicted model, not a curated record